AGCUCCAGUAGCGUAUAUUAAAGUUGUUGCAGUUAAAAAGCUCGUAGUUGGCACAAAAGUGGAAUUGUCGACCAACGGACUUUGUCUGUUGUGUUGUACGGUUCUGCUUUAUUUGGGACUGUCUUCAUUGUGGCAUUAGGUUGUCGCAUUGUUGAUGCCCAUCAUUUACUGUGAGAAAAUUAGAGUGUUCAAAACAGGCUUAUGCCGUUGAAUAUGUUAGCAUGGAAUAACAAAAAAGGAUUUCGGUACUAUUUUGUUGGUUUGCGCACCGAAAUAAUGAGAAAUAGGGACAGAUGGGGGCAUUUGUAUUUGAUUGUCAGAGGUGAAAUUCUUGGAUUUUUCAAAGACAAACUACUGCGAAAGCAUCUGCCAAGUAUGUUUUCAUUAAUCAAGAACGAAA
This 400-nucleotide ribosomal RNA is filed under the name phytoplankton environmental sample. Its description in RNAcentral is "partial small subunit ribosomal RNA". It matches the Rfam family "Eukaryotic small subunit ribosomal RNA", at positions 587 to 988 of the family's 1831-position model. The record is from RNAcentral.